CCUACGGGAGGCUGCAGUGGGGAAUAUUGCACAAUGGGCGCAAGCCUGAUGCAGCCAUGCCGCGUGUGUGAAGAAGGCCUUCGGGUUGUAAAGCACUUUCAGCGGGGGGGAAGGCGGUGAGGUUAAUAACCUCAUCGAUUGACGUUACCCGCAGAAGAAGCACCGGCUAACUCCGUGCCAGCAGCCGCGGUAAUACGGAGGGUGCAAGCGUUAAUCGGAAUUACUGGACGUAAAGCGCACGCAGGCGGUCUGUCAAGUCGGAUGUGAAAUCCCCGGGCUCAACCUGGGAACCGCAUUCGAAACUGGCAGGCUAGAAUCUUGUAGAGGGGGGUAGAAUUCCAGGUGUAGCGGUGAAAUGCGUAGAGAUCUGGAGGAAUACCGGUGGCGAAGGCGGCCCCCUGGACAAAGACUGACGCUCAGGUGCGAAAGCGUGGGGAGCAAACAGGAUUAGAUACCCGGGUAGUC
Molecule: ribosomal RNA, 465 nt
Filed under: uncultured Klebsiella sp.
Lineage: Bacteria; Pseudomonadati; Pseudomonadota; Gammaproteobacteria; Enterobacterales; Enterobacteriaceae
Description: bacterial SSU rRNA
Rfam family: Bacterial small subunit ribosomal RNA
Source: RNAcentral